This 565-nucleotide ribosomal RNA is filed under the name uncultured marine eukaryote. Its description in RNAcentral is "SSU rRNA". It matches the Rfam family "Eukaryotic small subunit ribosomal RNA", at positions 614 to 1180 of the family's 1831-position model. The record is from RNAcentral.
UGCGGUUAAAAAGCUCGUAGUUGGAUCUCGGCAAGUAGAGGGCGGUAUGCUUCGUAGCAUUACUGCCCUAUUACUUGUAGUUUUGCCAGAGGUUCCUGGGUGCUCUUAAUCGAGUGUCUAGGGAUGCUGGCAGGUUUACUCUGAAAAAAUUAGAGUGCUCAAAGCAGGCUAUUACGCUUGAAUAUUCGUGCAUGGAAUAAUAGAAUAGGAAGUUGUUUCUAUUUUGUUGGUUUUCGGAAAUCGACUUAAUGAUUAAUAGGGACAGUCGGGGGCAUUUGUAUUCAAACGACAGAGGUGAAAUUCUUGGACCGUUUGAAGACAAACUACUGCGAAAGCAUUUGCCAAGAAUGUUUUCAUUAAUCAAGAACGAAAGUUAGAGGUUCGAAGGCGAUUAGAUACCGCCCUAGUUCUAACCAUAAACGAUGCCAGCUAGCGAUCUGAGGACGUUUUUUUUGUAGACUCCUCAGGAAGCUUCCGGGAAACCAAAGCGUGUGGGUUCCGGGGGAAGUAUGGUUGCAAAGCUGAAACUUAAAGGAAUUGACGGAAAGGCACCACCAGGAGUGGA